RNAcentral lists this ribosomal RNA (114 nucleotides) under Petromyzon marinus (sea lamprey). Lineage: Eukaryota; Metazoa; Chordata; Hyperoartia; Petromyzontiformes; Petromyzontidae. The record is from RNAcentral.
UUGGCCAAGUCACCUUGAGUGUCCCAAUAUCGUUAUAUCUCAGUGGCUAAGCAGGGGUGGUCCUGGUUGGUACUGGGAUGGGAGACUGCCUGGAAAUGAUGAAUGUUGCAGAAU